AGGGACAGCAGCAGCCGCGGGAACACGUAGGGUGCAAGCGUUAAUCGGAAUUACUGGGCGUAAAGCGUGCGCAGGCGGUUAUAUAAGACAGAUGUGAAAUCCCCGGGCUCAACCUGGGAACUGCAUUUGUGACUGUAUAGCUAGAGUACGGCAGAGGGGGAUGGAAUUCCGCGUGUAGCAGUGAAAUGCGUAGAUAUGCGGAGGAACACCGAUGGCGAAGGCAAUCCCCUGGGCCUGUACUGACGCUCAUGCACGAAAGCGUGGGGAGCAAACAGGAUUAGAUACCCCGGUAGUCCCUGUCUCUUAUAC
This 309-nucleotide ribosomal RNA is filed under the name uncultured bacterium. RNAcentral describes it as "partial 16S ribosomal RNA". It matches the Rfam family "Bacterial small subunit ribosomal RNA", at positions 503 to 807 of the family's 1533-position model. The record is from RNAcentral.